UGGGGCCCUGGCUGCCCCCGCCCCUCCGCGCACGCGCCGUGCGUGGACAAGAUGGCGGCGCCCGUGGAUCUGGAGCUGAAGAAGGCCUUCACGGAGCUGCAGGCCAAGGUGAUGGACACGCAGCAGAAGGUGAAGCUGGCCGACCUGCAGAUCGAGCAGCUCACCAAGACCAAGAAGCACGCGCACCUCACCGACACGGAGGUGAUGAUGCUGGUGGACGAGACCCGCAUGUACGAGGGCGUGGGACGGAUGUUUAUUCUUCAGCCUAAAGGAGUGAUUCACAAUCAGCUCUUAGAAAAACAGAGAAUAGCCGAAGAGAAAAUUAAGGAGUUAGAGAGGAGUUUGCAGAGGAGGGCUGGGUUCACUGCUGAGCUCUUCUGGAAAUCCAUCCAGCUGCAUAGCAAGGAGAUCUCCAGCUGCCUGUUCCUGAAAAUGUGUCUUUAAUUUGCUUCAGAGGUGUGAGCUGGUUUUGCUGACAUUCACAGCAGCCAGUGAACUUUGAAAAAUGUCUGGCUGUCUUACAGAGAGAAGAAUCUGUGUUCUCAUUGCUGAUUUUUGAAAUUAAAGAUACUCUGAGCAAUGAGAAAAAUAAGCUUCAAAAUGACAAAACACUGAGGAGGUUGAGAGUGUAAUGGACACAGAACUAAUGCCACCAGCCCAAAAUCCUGCUUUUUGGAGAGGCCCUGUGACAUUGGACUGGGGCCACACAAUUUCAGACAGAUGGAAAUCAGCUGCGUGCAGCCAGCACCUGGCAGAUUUUAAAGGCAGCAAGUGCUCCUCAGUGUCUGCAGGGAAGGAGGUGGAUCUGUUUAGAAGCUGGCUCUUAGUCCUGUGUUAAAUUUAUUAGAUAAAGAUCAAAUAACAGUAUGUUCUGCUUUGAAAAUUGUGUAAGAAGCUUGUCAUGUGUUAAAUAGUGCACAAGUCACCGGUUGCAAAACAUGAUGUUGGAAUCUUAGAAGCACAGGGAGAAGAAAUUCUCACAUUUCAAAGGGGAAAGGGGAUUCCCAGCUCUCUUGAGGGGUCAUUUGCCACUUUAGGCUUGGGAUGACUUAUAAAAACUAAUGUCUCACUACAUUUUUGUGAAGAAUGGUUGUAGGUAAUGCUGAUUUGAGUGCAAUGAUGUGUAUUUAUGUCAUCACAUGUGUGUGGGUAUGCAGUGGCCAGGCUGGAUCUCUCAUUUGGAACAAUCAUUCACUGCAACAAGUUUUCAAACCCCCAGAUUUUUGCAAGCAGUUGUUUAAUUAGUAAUUCUUUGUUAGUCUUCCCUGUGCUGCAGACUGCAAAGUAAGCACACAAACCAGCUGAGAGGGCAAAGGCUUUAUGAAGGAAGGACUGGAAUUUCAUGACUUUGCUUUCAAUCUUCCUACCUUUAUUUUUGGGUAGAUAAUUGUAGAUUUUAAAAGCAAGAGGAUAAUUAAUGUGGGGGUUGUUUGCUUCCUUUUAAGUCCUUUAGAGGCUAGUUAUAGACAUGAUUUUGAAAUAAAGGCAUCUCAGAACUUU
Passer domesticus (house sparrow) is the source of this 1500-nucleotide RNA transcript. It is a transcript of the gene named prefoldin subunit 1, with no coding region annotated. The record is from RefSeq and is a predicted model, not a curated record. The transcript has 6 exons. Lineage: Eukaryota; Metazoa; Chordata; Aves; Passeriformes; Passeridae.